Molecule: ribosomal RNA, 367 nt
Filed under: uncultured bacterium
Lineage: Bacteria
Description: bacterial SSU rRNA
Rfam family: Bacterial small subunit ribosomal RNA
Source: RNAcentral
AGAGUUUGAUCCUGGCUCAGGAUGAACGCUGGCGGCGUGCUUAACACAUGCAAGUCGAACGAAACACCUUAUUUGAUUUUCUUCGGAACUGAAGAUUUGGUGAUUGAGUGGCGGACGGGUGAGUAACGCGUGGGUAACCUGCCCUGUACAGGGGGAUAACAGUCAGAAAUGACUGCUAAUACCGCAUAAGACCACAGCACCGCAUGGUGCAGGGGUAAAAACUCCGGUGGUACAGGAUGGACCCGCGUCUGAUUAGCUGGUUGGUGAGGUAACGGCUCACCAAGGCGACGAUCAGUAGCCCGACCUGUGAGGGUGACCGGCCACAUUGGGACUGAGACACGGCCCAAACUCCUACGGGACGCAGCAG